This is a long non-coding RNA of Daphnia pulicaria, 509 nucleotides long. RefSeq lists it as uncharacterized. The transcript is spliced from 3 exons. NCBI's taxonomy places the organism in Eukaryota, Metazoa, Arthropoda, Branchiopoda, Diplostraca, Daphniidae. The record is from RefSeq and is a predicted model, not a curated record.
GAACUAUAAGGUUUCGUGGGGGUAGGUAUUGCUUAUAACUUUAAUAGGGAAGCAUUAUUUCCAUUGUAAAUGAUAAAAAAUGCGAAUGUCACAAAAUACUUCGAGUAAAUCUAGUUACGCGUGCACGCACUCUUUAGUAAAACCCUGAAACGCUCCAGGAUGAAACAAAAUUCGAGGGAUUUUCUGCUUUUGUGUAGUCGACUUCCCGUAGAGCGACCAAAAUAAAAUUCAGUCAUUCCAUUGAGACUAGAAAUACAAGACGUUUAGAGACGAAUCUGUGCAGAAUUCUACUCCACUUAUAAACCUAUUGAUACAUCAUGCCAAAUUUAUGCCCCCAUCGGCAUGGAAGACACACGCGGGAUGAAAGACUUCGCUUGUUAGCAGCUCGAAGGCGCUUGCAAUGCAGAGUGUCGCUUAGAGUUUUUGACCAGCUACAACAAACUCUACGGCAGGCCGUUUCCGUUGAACUAGAGGGCGUUUUCACACCUGCUAUUGCAGCACUAUUUGCG